Long non-coding RNA from Bubalus bubalis (water buffalo), 236 nucleotides. RefSeq lists it as uncharacterized. The transcript is spliced from 2 exons. The record is from RefSeq and is a predicted model, not a curated record. NCBI's taxonomy places the organism in Eukaryota, Metazoa, Chordata, Mammalia, Artiodactyla, Bovidae.
GUCUCACCCAUGAAGUAUUCUUACCCAAAAUGUUUAACCUGAAUCUAACCAACCUUUUAUAUCCAACUACCAGCUUACAAGGAAUAGAGGAACAAGGGAAAUGACAUCCCAAGGAAAUCAUCAGAGUGAAAAGGUGUCUAAUGGUUUAUGAUGUCUACCUUCUUUGUGAACUAAACCUUUUAUCACUAAAAAUACUCAUCUUCGUUUCAAAGAUAAACUCAAAAUGGAUUAAAGAU